Molecule: transfer RNA, 62 nt
Filed under: Myrmecophilus manni (Mann's ant cricket)
Lineage: Eukaryota; Metazoa; Arthropoda; Insecta; Orthoptera; Myrmecophilidae
Description: tRNA-His
Source: RNAcentral
UAUUCAAGUAGUUUAAUUAGAAUAAUGAUUUGUGGUGUCAUAGGAAUGGUUCCAUCUUGGAU